GGUAACAUGGCUGAGUGGUAAAGCAUAG
Molecule: transfer RNA, 28 nt
Filed under: Epipogium aphyllum
Lineage: Eukaryota; Viridiplantae; Streptophyta; Magnoliopsida; Asparagales; Orchidaceae
Description: partial tRNA-Cys
Source: RNAcentral